CACUUUUCCUCUCCUUAAGACGUCGGGGACCCGGAGCCGAACCCUAGCCGCUUGUUCCUCCUCCUCUCCAAGCCGCCGCCACUCUCCAUCUUUUCCUGAACGAGAGAGAAGGGUUUUGCCCGAGCACAUCGCCGACCGCCGCCAUCGCCAUGGCCAGCCUCGACGCCACCUGAGCCCAGGAAUCGACCUGCUGUGACCUCCUCUUCGUCCUGGUCUACUACACGGAAGGAAACGCGCGUGGGAGUGGUCGAUCUCGUCCACAUCAUCGUCGUUUACUUCCCUGCCUCCGGUCACCUUCCUCGCCGCCGUCGUCCUCUACCGUUCCUUCUCCGAAGACAACCUCUCGACACCGACGCCGAGCAGUACGAGCAGGAGUACGAGUACCCCCAGGAGGAUCGUGUCUGUGCUUCUACCUCUGAGCUGACAGGCGAGCCCACCUCCUUCACCCAUUUUACAGUUUCAUGCUCGUUGAUCUAUUGCUAUCCCUAUAUUGCGAUUCUGUUGUGUCACGUGUUCUAUUCCACAUAUUACCCUAUAUGAGCCGUGUUACCCCUCCUACCUAUUUACCUGAUGUUUGUUGUUUGCAAGCCUUGCAAGUCGUAGCGUGAUUUUAGGGUCUUGUUGAUAUCUCGAUAUGUUCGAGACGUUGUUGUUGGGAAGUUGACACAUGUACCACCUUUUGAAAAUGAUGUUGAUAACUUUUGCUACAACUAAAAUUGAUAAGGGAUAAUAACAUUGCAGAGGCAUCGGUGAGCCCCUUUGCCAAAGCAUCGGAUUUUUGUCUCGCUUGUGUCCCCUAGGACCCGAGUUCUUGUUAUCUGCUCUAAGGCUGAGCGCGCUAACCACUCGCGGGAGGUUUUAUCGGGACCCCCCCAUCACCCAUUACCAUUUCUCAAGUCUGUUGAAAAGGGGGCCACAACCUUGGUUUUAUUUGCCUAUGCCAUGUAUGCCAUGUAUGCCAUGCUUUACUUACUGUUGCCUUCGGGUGUUUACUUGCUGUUGCCUACGGGUGUUUAUAUUCUGUACUGUACCUUGCGAGACGUUUAGCGAAGCGUGUGGUUUGCACGCCUAGCCACCGGCGCAAACCCUGAGUCCGCCUCGGAGUACGGCCGAACUUCGUUCCGGGUAGCUUAGUGGGGUGGCCCCCCUAGACUUUCUUGUUGAACUGGGAACGGUCUUGUUGUGAGACUCCGCACUUGCUAUGCGGGUUCGAGCAUGCGUGUAUGGGAACAGUAGUGCACCCCUGCAGGGUAAAUCUUUUCGGAAAGCCGUGUCCGCGGUUAUGGACGACUUGGAGCUGUUUAACUCGAUCAUAGAACAACUUACACCUAAUCUUGUCGCUAAUAACUUGCUAAAAAUCUGCGUAGUAAGUUAGCACUAUUUCAAUGGAUACUAAAUAAAAUUGUCAACUGUGUGAGUGCCUUGCCAGUACUUCUUUGCGGAGGGGGAUCGCAUUGGCUAGGUUAUGUUUGCAGAGUAUAGAACUGCUAGCUUAUGCGCUCUCUCACCUUCUCUGAUAGACGUAUGUUGUAGCAUGUCUCUAUAAGUUAGUUCUUGCUUUGCUGCCGCUAAACUCCACAUAUAGCCGGGCGAAGUUUAUACCGCCCACCAGCGAGCACAGCUGGUCUUGUCUCGCAAGUACGUGCCAUUGGUACUUACCCUCGUUUUUCUCCCUCUUUUUCCGGAACCCGCUUUUCUACAAAAAGGUACGACAGAUGAUGAGAAGUUCGCUGGAGGCUACUUCAUUGAGUUCACGGACGAUGACCUCGUCGAGUAGCAGGAUCGCUCCUAGGCAGCAGCCUGUGGCUUGUUGGUUAUGGACCCCACUUGGUUAUCUUCAGGACUCUUAGUCCAAUUUGGAUCUUGUCUGUACCCAGACUAUUUGCUUCCGCUAUGUAUGAUGUCAUGAUGGGAUAUGUGUCCCUUUGCAUGUCAUUUGGAUCUUGCUCAGUAGAGUGUUGCUAUAUAUAAACCUUAUUUCCA
Molecule: non-coding RNA, 1983 nt
Organism: Lolium perenne
Lineage: Eukaryota; Viridiplantae; Streptophyta; Magnoliopsida; Poales; Poaceae
Source: RefSeq, a predicted model, not a curated record